Long non-coding RNA from Gekko japonicus, 202 nucleotides. RefSeq lists it as uncharacterized. The transcript has 3 exons. The record is from RefSeq and is a predicted model, not a curated record. NCBI's taxonomy places the organism in Eukaryota, Metazoa, Chordata, Lepidosauria, Squamata, Gekkonidae.
AGCUCUGAAGUGUACAGACUAAACCUGGAACAAGGAAGGUACCUGAAUUCCCUACAGACCGAUGCUUCGGAGAAUCAUGUAUGUGAUAUAAAUUCUGCUCAUGGCUUAUUUGCAACUGGGACAAUUGAGGGAAAGGUGGAAUGCUGGGAUCCUAGAACACGAAAUCGAGUUGGAGUGUUGGAUUGCGCUUUAAGCAGCACAA